RNAcentral lists this long non-coding RNA (283 nucleotides) under Brassica napus (rape). RNAcentral's name for it is "long non-coding RNA (BNAP_LNC025926)". The record is from RNAcentral. Lineage: Eukaryota; Viridiplantae; Streptophyta; Magnoliopsida; Brassicales; Brassicaceae.
AGAUGAUAUCGCUAAGUUGUGGAUAGUUAGGUAUUCUGGAAUAUGAUUGGUUGUGUUAAUUUGCGAUUAAUACUAGGAACCUUGUGUUAUUUUUACCGGGUUUAGUAAUAAUCAUAUAUUAGCCGACAGCAUUUGUGUAACCCACAUUGCUAGGCAUAUUGGGGUGAGUUAGUGUUCCUUCAGGCCUCGUACCCGGCGGGUUCAAGGAAACCCCUUAUUCAAUAAUCAUAUAUUAGCCGACAGCAUUUGUGUAACCCACAUUGCUAGGCAUAUUGGGGUGAGU